RNAcentral lists this transfer RNA (83 nucleotides) under human gut metagenome. It matches the Rfam family "tRNA". Rfam says of the family: Transfer RNA (tRNA) molecules are approximately 80 nucleotides in length. Their secondary structure includes four short double-helical elements and three loops (D, anti-codon, and T loops). Further hydrogen bonds mediate the characteristic L-shaped molecular structure. tRNAs have two regions of fundamental functional importance: the anti-codon, which is responsible for specific mRNA codon recognition, and the 3' end, to which the tRNAs corresponding amino acid is attached (by aminoacyl-tRNA synthetases). tRNAs cope with the degeneracy of the genetic code in two manners: having more than one tRNA (with a specific anti-codon) for a particular amino acid; and 'wobble' base-pairing, i.e. permitting non-standard base-pairing at the 3rd anti-codon position. The record is from RNAcentral.
GAGAGAUGGUCGAGUGGUUUAAGGCGGCGGUCUUGAAAACCGCAGAGGCGCAAGCCUCCAAGGGUUCGAAUCCCUUUCUCUCC